Long non-coding RNA from Morus notabilis, 334 nucleotides. RefSeq lists it as uncharacterized. The transcript has 3 exons. NCBI's taxonomy places the organism in Eukaryota, Viridiplantae, Streptophyta, Magnoliopsida, Rosales, Moraceae. The record is from RefSeq and is a predicted model, not a curated record.
CUACACGCCUCACAACUUGAUUUGAAAGUUAAAACUUGAGGUUUAACAGAGGUCAACUCUUUAUCUUUGUUGUCUAAUUUUGCAUGUGGAAAAACACCUGGAUACUGGAAGUCAAAAGCUAAGUCAUGCUCUGUACCAGGUAUUAUUGAGCUCUGAUAGUUCUGCGUAGCUUUUUGCUGUUGCAAAUGCUGCUAAGAAUGCUCAAGCAAUCAUUGGCAUACCCACACUCUUGGAUGAGUAUGAAAACAUUUUUGAUACAUUGCAACAGAAACCUGGAAGCUUGCUUUAAGGUAUUUUAAUACGAUGACCUGAGCCGCUGAUUGAAAGAGAAUUA